RNAcentral lists this unclassified non-coding RNA (381 nucleotides) under Hevea brasiliensis (rubber tree). Lineage: Eukaryota; Viridiplantae; Streptophyta; Magnoliopsida; Malpighiales; Euphorbiaceae. The record is from RNAcentral.
GGAGGAUAAAUCUGCCCAAUUAUAUCAAACAUCAAUCUCGUACCAUACAGAAAUAUCAAUCUGUCAAUCUCAUACUGAUACCAACAUUCUACCAAAUAUCAAUCUCAUACCAUACAGAUAUCUACACUAAUUGAGAUUCAAAUCAGUCAUGGUGCAUGUUCUUGUAUGAUUGUUUCAGAAAGGCUGAAUUCCUCGCAGAAAGUUCAUUUUGGCUAGCCAACUAGCCAUGCAAUUGAAGAAAAUAUAAAAUUCCAAAUUUGCAAUGUUAAGGUCAAUAUGCACAGAUAAGGCUUUCCUUUAUAGUCACCAGGAUCACACCUGAGUUUUGAGUUAUUUUCCUAGUAAUAUCUCUCAUCAACAUACAAAAAUGCUUAGUUCUAU